RNAcentral lists this ribosomal RNA (253 nucleotides) under uncultured bacterium. RNAcentral describes it as "partial 16S ribosomal RNA". It matches the Rfam family "Bacterial small subunit ribosomal RNA", at positions 524 to 776 of the family's 1533-position model. The record is from RNAcentral.
UACGAAGGGUGCAAGCGUUAAUCGGAAUUACUGGGCGUAAAGCGUGCGCAGGCGGUUGUGUAAGACAGAUGUGAAAUCCCCGGGCUCAACCUGGGAACUGCAUUUGUGACUGCACGGCUGGAGUGCGGCAGAGGGGGAUGGAAUUCCGCGUGUAGCAGUGAAAUGCGUAGAUAUGCGGAGGAACACCGAUGGCGAAGGCAAUCCCCUGGGCCUGCACUGACGCUCAUGCACGAAAGCGUGGGGAGCAAACAGG